Molecule: long non-coding RNA, 1311 nt
Organism: Drosophila miranda
Lineage: Eukaryota; Metazoa; Arthropoda; Insecta; Diptera; Drosophilidae
Exons: 5
Source: RefSeq, a predicted model, not a curated record
UUACACAAAAUACAUACAAAUACAAUACAAUUAGUAAUUCCAAAAAAAAAAUUACUAUCUACCCAAGUGGUUAUUAAUACACCAACACACCUGGUGGACAGAUGGAUCGGCAUCGGCCCCGGCCCAUUCAUUGGUAGCCACGUCAACCGUCAGCACAGCCAAUUACGCAAAUUAAACAGAUUGUUAUCCUGUCCAGACAGGACCCCAUUCCGUCCCGUCCCGUCAGUCCCGUCCGUCCCGUCGCAUCCAUCCCACGUCUACAUCUCGUCCCCCGCGCGACCCCGGACAAUAUGACAAGCCAGGUGGCUUAAUUGAAUCAACGUGACAUAAUUACUUAAUUAAUUAAGUGCGCCCAACGGUCACACAUUCAAAUCGGCCAUCAUGUUGCGAAAAUCAUUCAGCGAGCCGUACAUUUCAAAGUCCCCGCCCCCGCCGCCGCUGCCACUCCCGUAGACCUGUGCCUGGGCGUGGGAGCGCACGUGCGCCGGCCUGGGCAGCGUCAGCGGCACGGGCAGCAGCUCCGGCAUCACCGAGUGAUGGGUGAUCAAGGCCUUCAGCGAACUAAACUCCUUGGUGAAGCCCUGCAAACCCCGCUGUGUCCUGAGGAUCAGAUAGUGGGCCACACGCGGUGAUGGCGGCGGCACACGCAGCGACAAGGCAAAGCAGCCUGGCUUGGUGCUGCUCUGACGCACCAGGAAGGCGCCGGGACUCUGACGGGAGAGCACCUCCAGUGAGAUCUCGCGCGGAAUGCCCGCCUGGAACCAGGCGGCCCCCUUAAGCUCCUGCUGCUCGGCCAAGCUAAGGUUAUCCAGACGCAGCGAUCCAUUGCCGGCGAACAGUUUUGGACUGGAAUUAGCUGCAGAUGUGUACGUGUGGGUGUGUGUGAGGAGAAGGGAGAUUCGCGAGAGGAACUGAAGGAAUGAUGUUCUAAAUCCAUCUGGAACUUAGCAUGAAACGUAUUUAAGUCUUCAUCUACACGAGAACUCGGCCAGGAACGUGGGGCAGUCCCUCUGAGCUAGAGGAUAAUCUUCAAUAAAUCUUGGCAUACUUUUGGGCUGGCGGUUUAACAGAGCGGGGCUCUGUUAAGUUAAACCAAGGUGAAUCUUUUGGGGGCACUAGAAAGCAAUGUUAAAUGUUGGAAUCAGAGAUGUUGAUGCCGAUCGAUAGUCUGGAUUCUCACGAUCCUGGGAAAGUAGAUCUUUUGCCCAUCUGUCCCUUUUGUAUUCACCUCGGAAUACUUAUCCAUUAGCAUAUAAUAUAUACAUUUACUGUUUUUUUUUUUAUGUGGAAAAUUUGUAUUUUAUUGUAAAC